Molecule: ribosomal RNA, 460 nt
Filed under: uncultured bacterium
Lineage: Bacteria
Description: partial 16S ribosomal RNA
Rfam family: Bacterial small subunit ribosomal RNA
Source: RNAcentral
CCUACGGGAGGCAGCAGUGAGGAAUAUUGGUCAAUGGACGAGAGUCUGAACCAGCCAAGUAGCGUGAAGGAUGACUGCCCUAUGGGUUGUAAACUUCUUUUAUAUGGGAAUAAAACGUUCCACGUGUGGGAUUUUGUAUGUACCAUAUGAAUAAGGAACGGCUAACUCCGUGCCAGCAGCCGCGGUAAUACGGAGGAUCCGAGCGUUAUCCGGAUUUAUGUGGUGUAAAGGGAGCGUAGGUGGAUUGUUAAGUCAGUUGUGAAAGUGUGUGGCUUAACCGUAAAAUUGCAGUUGAAACUGGCAGUCUUGAGUACAGUAGAGGUGGGCGGAAUUCGUGGUGUAGCGGUGAAAUGCUUAGAGAUCACGAAGAACUCUGAUUGCGAAGGCAGUUCACUGGACUGCAACUGACACUGAGGCUCGAAAGUGUGGGUAUCAAACAGGAUUAGAUACCCUGGUAGUC